GAGUUUGAUCCUGGCUCAGAUUGAACGCUGGCGGCAGGCUUAACACAUGCAAGUCGAACGGUAACAUGAGUGCUUGCACUUGAUGACGAGUGGCGGACGGGUGAGUAAUGUAUGGGGAUCUGCCGAAUGGAGGGGGACAACAGUUGGAAACGACUGCUAAUACCGCAUAAAGUUGAGAGACCAAAGCAUGGGACCUUCGGGCCAUGCGCCAUUUGAUGAACCCAUAUGGGAUUAGCUAGUUGGUAGGGUAAUGGCUUACCAAGGCGACGAUCUCUAGCUGGUCUGAGAGGAUGACCAGCCACACUGGAACUGAGACACGGUCCAGACUCCUACGGGAGGCAGCAGUGGGGAAUAUUGCACAAUGGGGGGAACCCUGAUGCAGCCAUGCCGCGUGUAUGAAGAAGGCCUUCGGGUUGUAAAGUACUUUCGGUGAUGAGGAAGGUGACGUAUCUAAUAGGUAUGUUAAUUGACGUUAAUUACAGAAGAAGCACCGGCUAACUCCGUGCCAGCAGCCGCGGUAAUACGGAGGGUGCGAGCGUUAAUCGGAAUGACUGGGCGUAAAGGGCAUGUAGGCGGAUAAUUAAGUUAGGUGUGAAAGCCCUGGGCUCAACCUAGGAAUUGCACUUAAAACUGGUUAACUAGAGUAUUGUAGAGGAAGGUAGAAUUCCACGUGUAGCGGUGAAAUGCGUAGAGAUGUGGAGGAAUACCGGUGGCGAAGGCGGCCUUCUGGACAGAUACUGACGCUGAGAUGCGAAAGCGUGGGGAGCAAACAGGAUUAGAUACCCUGGUAGUCCACGCUGUAAACGAUGUCGAUUUGGAGUUUGUUGCCUUGAGUGAUGGGCUCCGAAGCUAACGCGAUAAAUCGACCGCCUGGGGAGUACGGCCGCAAGGUUAAAACUCAAAUGAAUUGACGGGGGCCCGCACAAGCGGUGGAGCAUGUGGUUUAAUUCGAUGCAACGCGAAGAACCUUACCUGGUCUUGACAUCCACAGAAUCUUGCAGAGAUGCGGGAGUGCCUUCGGGAACUGUGAGACAGGUGCUGCAUGGCUGUCGUCAGCUCGUGUUGUGAAAUGUUGGGUUAAGUCCCGCAACGAGCGCAACCCUUAUCCUUUGUUGCCAUCGGUUUGGCCGGGAACUCAAAGGAGACUGCCGUUGAUAAAGCGGAGGAAGGUGGGGACGACGUCAAGUCAUCAUGGCCCUUACGACCAGGGCUACACACGUGCUACAAUGGCGUAUACAAAGGGAGGCGA
Molecule: ribosomal RNA, 1249 nt
Filed under: uncultured Gammaproteobacteria bacterium
Lineage: Bacteria; Pseudomonadati; Pseudomonadota; Gammaproteobacteria
Description: bacterial SSU rRNA
Rfam family: Bacterial small subunit ribosomal RNA
Source: RNAcentral